AGCUCCAAUAGCGUAUAUUAAAGUUGCUGCAGUUAAAAAGCUCGUAGUUGGAUUUGUGGCGCGGCCGUCCGGCGGGGCUCCUUCAUUGGGGCCGUUUGUCUGGUUUUUCUGCCGCUCCAUUCUCGGGUAGUGUGUCGCUGGCAUUAGGUUGUUGGCUUCUUCACGCCCGUCGUUUACUGUGAAAAAAUUAGAGUGUUCAAAGCAGGCUUAGGCCAUUGGAUACAUUAGCAUGGAAUAAUGAGAUAGGGCCACGGCGGUCUAUUUUGUUGGUUUGCACGUUGUGGUAAUGAUUAACAGGAACGGUUGGGGGUAUUCGUAUUCAAUUGUCAGAGGUGAAAUUCUUGGAUUUAUGGAAGACGAACUACUGCGAAAGCAUUUACCAAGGAUGUUUUCAUUAAUC
Molecule: ribosomal RNA, 400 nt
Filed under: phytoplankton environmental sample
Lineage: Eukaryota
Description: partial small subunit ribosomal RNA
Rfam family: Eukaryotic small subunit ribosomal RNA
Source: RNAcentral